GUACACGCUGUGACUAGCAUAUCAAUAAGCGGAGGAAAAGAAACUAACAAGGAUUCCCCUAGUAACGGCGAGUGAAGCGGGAAGAGCUCAAAUUUGAAAUCUUAAAGGGUUUCCCUUUACGAAUUGUAGUUUAAAGAAGUGUUUUCUGUUGAGGUUUUGGUAAAAGUUCUUUGGAAUAGGACAUCAUAGAGGGUGAGAAUCCCGUAUUUGACCUUUACUUUCAACUUUGUGAUACACUUUCAAAGAGUCGGAUUGUUUGGGAAUGCAGUCCAAAAUGGGUGGUAAAUUUCAUCUAAAGCUAAAUAUUGGCGAGAGACCGAUAGCGAACAAGUACCGUGAGGGAAAGAUGAAAAGAACUUUGAAAAGAGAGUUAAACAGUACGUGAAAUUGUCAAAAGGGAAGCGUUUGAUCACCAGUGUUGUUUUUCUGAAAAUCAAUUAAAGAACUGUUUAUGCUAAGCUGUUUAGACUUUAUCAGCUAAUCUGUUUAGUUUUGAGCUUUUCUUUAAUGCACUUUUCAGUUAACAAGUCAACAUCAAUUUCUUUUGCUGUAAAAAAGCUUGAGGAAGGUGGCUUGAGAUUCGUCUUAAGUGUUUAUAGCCUCUUGCCUAUGCAGUCGGAGAGAUUGAGGUCUGCAGCGUAGAUCCUUCGGGGCUAAAUGCAUUUGUGCUAAGUUAUAGCAUUUCAGUAGACAACUUGUUGACUAUGAUUUGUCUUGUAGCUUAGCUCGCUUAUGUUAUUUUACCUACGCUUAGGAUGUUGACGCGCGUGUGUGCGUG
Molecule: ribosomal RNA, 778 nt
Filed under: uncultured Neocallimastigales
Lineage: Eukaryota; Fungi; Neocallimastigomycota; Neocallimastigomycetes; Neocallimastigales
Description: partial large subunit ribosomal RNA
Rfam family: Eukaryotic large subunit ribosomal RNA
Source: RNAcentral